RNAcentral lists this non-coding RNA (26 nucleotides) under Homo sapiens (human). Lineage: Eukaryota; Metazoa; Chordata; Mammalia; Primates; Hominidae. The record is from RNAcentral.
UCUAGAAACCAGUUGGACAGUGCUCC